Molecule: ribosomal RNA, 292 nt
Filed under: uncultured bacterium
Lineage: Bacteria
Description: partial 16S ribosomal RNA
Rfam family: Bacterial small subunit ribosomal RNA
Source: RNAcentral
GUGCCAGCCGCCGCGGUAAUACGGAGGGUGCAAGCGUUAUCCGGAAUCAUUGGGUUUAAAGGGUCCGCAGGCGGUCAAUUAAGUCAGAGGUGAAAUACCGUCGCUUAACGACGGAACUGCCUUUGAUACUGGUUGACUUGAGUCAUAUGGAAGUAGAUAGAAUGUGUAGUGUAGCGGUGAAAUGCUUAGAUAUUACACAGAAUACCGAUUGCGAAGGCAGUCUACUACGUAUGUACUGACGCUCAUGGACGAAAGCGUGGGGAGCGAACAGGAUUAGAAACCCUAGUAGUCC